Lagopus leucura (white-tailed ptarmigan) is the source of this 100-nucleotide long non-coding RNA. RefSeq lists it as uncharacterized. The record is from RefSeq and is a predicted model, not a curated record. Lineage: Eukaryota; Metazoa; Chordata; Aves; Galliformes; Phasianidae. The transcript has 3 exons.
UGUAUAUAAAAAGCUACAGAAAUAGCUGUCCCAAGGAAAAGGCCAAAGGACUUCUGUGCCCAGGAUAAUAUAUCUCAAAGUCAAGAGGAAAACUGCACCA